UACAGAGGGUGCAAGCGUUAAUCGGAAUUACUGGGCGUAAAGCGUGCGUAGACGGUUAUUUAAGUCAGGUGUGAAAGCCCCGGGCUCAACCUGGGAAUUGCAUUCGAUACUGGAUAGCUAGAGUUCGGCAGAGGGAAGCGGAAUUUCUGGUGUAGCGGUGAAAUGCGUAGAUAUCAGAAGGAACAUCAGUGGCGAAAGCGGCUUCCUGGACCAGAACUGACGAUCAGGCUCGAAAGCGUGGGGAGCAAACAGG
Molecule: ribosomal RNA, 253 nt
Filed under: uncultured bacterium
Lineage: Bacteria
Description: partial 16S ribosomal RNA
Rfam family: Bacterial small subunit ribosomal RNA
Source: RNAcentral